GAAACCAACAGGGAUUGCCUCAGUAACGGCGAGUGAAGCGGCAACAGCUCAAAUUUGAAAUCUGGCGCCUUCGGCGUCCGAGUUGUAAUUUGUAGAGGAUGCUAUUAGGUUGCCACCGGUCUAAGUUCCUUGGAACAGGACGUCACAGAGGGUGAGAAUCCCGUAUGUGACCGGCCAGGCGCCUUCUGUAUAGCUCCUUCGACGAGUCGGGUUGUUUGGGAAUGCAGCCCUAAAUGGGAGGUAAAUUUCUUCUAAAGCUAAAUACCGGCCAGAGACCGAUAGCGCACAAGUAGAGUGAUCGAAAGAUGAAAAGCACUUUGGAAAGAGAGUUAAAAAGCACGUGAAAUUGUUGAAAGGGAAGCGCUUGCAAUCAGUCUCGACGGCGGCUGUUCGGCCUCUCUUCUGAGUGGUUUAUUCAGUCGCCGCCGGGCCAGCAUCAGUUUUGGCGGUCGGAUAAAGGCGUGGGGAAUGUAGCUCCUCCGGGAGUGUUAUAGCCCCGCGUGCAAUACGGCCCGCCGGGACUGAGGUCCGCGCUUCGGCUAGGAUGCUGGCGAAAUGGUUGUAAGCGGCCCGUCUUGAAACACGGACCAAGGAGUCUAACAUCUACGCGAGUGUUUGGGUGUCAAACCCGUGCGCGCAAUGAAAGUGAACGGAGGUGGGAACCGCAAGGUGCACCAUCGACCGAUCCUGAUGUCUUCGGAUGGAUUUGAGUAAGAGCGUAGCUGUUGGGACCCGAAAGAUGGUGAACUAUGCCUGAAUAGGGUGAAGCCAGAGGAAACUCUGGUGGAGGCUCGCAGCGGUUCUGACGUGCAAAUCGAUCGUCAAAUUUGGGUAUAGGGGCGAAAGACUAAUCGA
This 855-nucleotide ribosomal RNA is filed under the name Elsinoe mimosae. RNAcentral's name for it is "LSU rRNA". It matches the Rfam family "Eukaryotic large subunit ribosomal RNA", at positions 61 to 938 of the family's 3401-position model. Lineage: Eukaryota; Fungi; Ascomycota; Dothideomycetes; Myriangiales; Elsinoaceae. The record is from RNAcentral.